GUCGACAAGUGAAUGAACAUUUUAAAGCAAAAAUGAGGUCUCUAGGUGAAAGUAUGCUGAAGUUAUAAGGUCUAGAAGGUGGAAGAAUAAAAGGAAGGAGUGGAAGAUUUCCCCAUUGACUUCAAUGUUAAAAUUUUUGCACAAAAAGUUAAAAAAAACAAAAAGUAUAAAAGGUAGAAAGGUAAAAAAUACAAGCACACAUGUCCUGAAGGAGUGGAAUAGUUUAAAGUUUGAACGGUUGAAAUCGCACAAAGUUUGAAGGAGUUGAAAAGCGACAAAAAACGGCGGAAGAAUAAUAAUAAUAAUAAUAAUAAAGAAACAGGAGAAUAACAAUAAGUGGAAAUGCCUAUCAGCAUUUCCACUUAACUAGAAAAAUUGCAUUUCCUUGCAGAAAAUGCGUGGAAAUGCUGAGUGCUGAAAGCUGAAAAAGCAAUGCUAAACUGCUAAUAAAACAUGGAGAAAGGUAUAAAUGUUAAAGCUGUUGAAGGAAUGAAAAAGAAAAAUAAGUUGGAUAACUACUUAAUUGGUUGAAGGACAAAUAGUAUGAAUAUGCUCUAUAAAAGGAAAUUUUAUUCAUGCUGAAAGAGGCUAGAAAAAUGUCUAAAAUUGCACAAAGUUUGAAUGAAGAAGGAAAUUGCCUUAAAAGGCAGGAAGGUGAGAAGUGGCAUAAGUUUAAAUUGUAGUAUAAGAAGUCAAGUCGUGAUACUAGUAGUCAUGUCAGCAGUAGAAGUAGAUUGAGAAUAAAAGAAGUAUAAGUCAAAGUAGUAAAGAAAGUAGAAAUAGGAGCAAUAGCAGUUGAAGUAGAGGGGAAAGUUCUAGUUUAAUUGACAUUAGCAGUAGUUGUCGUACUUGAGGUAGGAUUUUGUUUGAAUGAUGGAGUAAUGCAUAAAUAUUAAAACUAAUUUAAAACAGGGAAAAUUUAAAUUAUCAAAAGUCCUCAAGUAUCAGAAAGUUUUGAAGUAUUAGAAAGGUUUGAAUCAGUUUGAAUGAGUUUAAAUUACUUUGAAAAAUUAAAUGAUAAAUCAUCACUGACUGAGUUUUAAAAUGUGAAAAAUUUAAAUGAAUAACAAUCCUAAAUACACCCAAUAAUGUCCUCAAUGAGCUUAAAUUUUAAAGCCCUGAAUGGUUUCUGUAGGUCAAAGGUCAUGUGAGGAGAUAGGGGCUGAAGUUUUUUCCAACGCUCUAGGAAAGGGUUUUAAGUGUCAUCCCAAUUGCUAUGUGUACUGAGCCUGGCUUCAUGUGUCUCAUAUGGCCACUAGAAGCAGCUUUCCAGUCAUCUGUGUGUCUCCAGGUGCACAAAUUGGUUGCCAUGGGGACCUUGGAUGCAUAACUAUAGCAGGAGAAAGAAGGCUUGAAGCUAAAGAAACAGGACUCCAAGUAGGCCCUGACGCUCACCCUCUGUAUAUAUUCAUAAGGAGCUUGUGAGAACACAAGAUUUUGCUGAACACAUUAAUACAAUUUAUUAUCACAAUCCUCAAAACACCCCAUAAUAUCUUCAAUGAGCUGAAUUUUUCAAGCCCAGAAUGGUUUCUGUAGCUCAAAGUUUGUGGGUGGAGAUAGGUGGUGAAGCAGACACAUAUUAUCUGUGUGUACAAGCAGGUGAACUGCAAGGUAGACCUGACAAUGCAACAAGUACAAGAAUGUGUGUGUGUGUGUGUCUCGUUAAUGACUGCAUCCCUAACAGCUGUGAGAUCAAAGGCAAAUCACUGACCUACUGUUUGAAUGAGAAGCAGCUGAACAGCAGAGGAUUUGAAGCCUGUGAACUUCUUCACAUAGCGUGAUUUCCUUAAGUCCCAGAAUGAAAAUAAGAACAUCGUACGAAUCCUCCGUCCUUCAUGAACACAAUGAUGUGGUUUUCAUGUAUGUACUCCGAAAAAUGUGGCCACAACAGCGAGUUAAAAAAGUCUGAGCCUGAGUGGGGAUAAGGAUUUUCUUGGAGAAGAAAUACAUUAGGUCUAAUGGGGAGAGAUUUCCGCCUAUUUGGACAGUUGGUCACCUGCUGGCCAAGGGGUAGGAUUUAAUGAUUUGAAACCUCUUUUGUGAGAAGCAGGACACAUAUACCUCCAUUUUGAUGUAUUAUUUAUGGCUCUGGAGUGAGAUUUGUGGGCGUGGGAGCGAUAUAUUCGAGCGAGGUUCUGUCGAUCAGAGACGAGGUCUGCACUCUAGCUGAUGACAUCAUCACUCUAAGCUCUCCAAUACACACCCAUUAUAAAGCCUGAAAUUUGCUGAAAACCACGAGUUGCAUAAAGCUAAAUUGUGGAAAAACUGUAAAAGAUAGCACAAAAAGGUUAAUACAAUAUCAAUAGUCGACAAGACAAUGAACAUUUCAAAGCAAAAAUGAGACAUCUAGGUGAAAGUAUGCUGAAGUUAUAAGGCUUAGAAGGUGGACGAAUAACAGGAAGAAGUGGAAGAUUUCCCCAUUCAUUUCUAUGGGAAAAAAAGUUUGGCACAAAAAGUGAAAAAUAAUAAAAAGUAUAAAGGGUAGAAAAGAGAAAAGUAAUAGCCAUCAUGUCCUGAAGGAGUGGAAUCGUUUAAAGUUUGAACGGUUGAAAUCGGACAAAGUUUGAAGGAGGAGAAGCGGUCCAAAGAAACGUAUGGGGAGAGUGUUAAGUAUAAUACUAGAAAAAUUGCAUUUCCUUGCAGAAAAUGCGUGGAAAUGCUGAGUGCUGAAAGCUGAAAAAGCAAUGCUGAACUGCUAAUAAAACAUGGAGAAAUGUAUAAAUGUUAAAGCUGUUGAAGGGGUGUGAAAGAAAUGUAAGUUGGAUAAUUGAUUAAUUGGUUGAAGGACAAAUAGUAUGAAUAUGCUCUAUAAAAAGAAAUUUUGUUCAUGCUAAAAGAGGCUAGAAAAAUGUCUAAAAUUGCACAAAGUUUGAAUGAAGAAGGAAAUUGCCUUAAAAGGCAGGAAGGUGGGAAGUGGCAUAAGUUUAAUUUUUUAAGUAUUAGAAAGGUUUGAAUCAGUUUGAAUCAGUUCAAAUUAGUUUGAAAAAUUAAAUGAUAAAUCAUCACUGAGUGACUUUAAAAUGUGAAAAAUCUAAAUGUAUAUAAAUCCUAAAUACACCCCAUAAUGUCCUCAAUGAGCUCAAAUUUUAAAGCCCUGAAUGGUUUCUGUAGGUCAAAGGUCAUGUGAGGAGAUAGGGGCUGAAGUUUUUUCAAGCGCUCUAGUAAAGGGUUUUAAGUGUCAUCCCCAGUGCUAUGUGUGCUGAGCCUGGCUUCAUGUGUCUCAUAUGGCCAUUAGAAGCAGCUUUCCAGUCAGCUGUGUGUCUCCAGGUGCACUAAUUGGUUGCCAUGGGGACCUUGGAUGCAUAACUAUAGCAGGAGAAAGAAGGCUUGAAGCUAAGGAAACAGGACUCCAAGUAGGCCCUGACGCUCAUCCUCUGUAUCUAUUCCUGAUAAGGAGCUUGUGAGAACACAAGACUCUGCUAAACACAUUAAUACAAUUUAUUAUCACAAUCCUCAAAACACCCCAUAAUAUCUUCAAUGAGCUGAAUUUUAGAAGCCCAGAAUGGUUUCUGUAGCUCAAAGUUUGUGGGUGGAGAUAGGUGGCGAAGCAGACACAUAUUAACUGUGUGUACUAGCAGCUGAACUGCAAGGUAGACCUCAUAAAGCAACAAGUACAAUAUGUGUGUGUGUGUGUGUCUCAUUAAUGACUGCAUCCCUAACAGCUGUGAGAUCAAAGGCAAAUCACUGACCUACUGUUUGAAUGAGAAGCAGCUGAACAGCAGAGGAUUUGAAGCCUGUGAACUUCUUCACAUAGCGUGAUUUCCUUAAGUCCCAGAAUGAAAAUAAGAACAUUGUACGAAUCCUCCGUCCUUCAUGAACACAAUGAUGUGGUUUUCAUGUAUGUACUCCGAAAAAUGUGGCCACAACAGCGAGUUAAAAAAGUCUGAGCCUGAGUGGGGAUAAGGAUUUUCUUGGAGAAGAAAUACAUUAGGUCUAAUGGGGAGAGAUUUCCGCCUAUUUGGACAGUUGGUCACCUGCUGGCCAAGGGGUAGGAUUUAAUGAUUUGAAACCUCUUUUGUGAGAAGCAGGACACAUAUACCUCCAUUUUGAUGUAUUAUUUAUGGCUCUGGAGUGAGAUUUGUGGGCGUGGGAGCGAUAUAUUCGAGCGAGGUUCUGUCGAUCAGAGACGAGGUCUGCACUCUAGCUGAUGACAUCAUCACUCUAAGCUCUCCAAUACACACCCAUUAUAAAGCCUGAAAUUUGCUGAAAACCACGAGUUGCAUAAAGCUAAAUUGUGGAAAAACUGUAAAAGAUAGCACAAAAAGGUUAAUACAAUAUCAACAGUCGACAAGACAAUGAAUAUUUUAAAGCAAAAAUGAGGUCUCUAGGUGAAAGUAUGCUGAAGUUAUAAGGCUUAGAAGGUGGACGAAUAGCAGGAAGCAUUGAAAGAUUUCCCCAUUCAUUUCUAUGGGAAAAAAAGUUUGGCACAAAAAGUGAAAAAUAAUAAAAAGUAUAAAGGGUAGAAAAGAGAAAAGUAAUAGCCAUCAUGUCCUGAAGGAGUGGAAUAGUUUAAAGUUUGAACGGUUGAAAUCGAGCAAAGUUUGAAGGAGGAGAAGCGGUCCAAAGAAACGUAUGGGGAGAGUGUUAAGUAUAAUACUAGAAAAAUUGCAUUUCCUUGCAGAAAAUGCGUGGAAAUGCUGAGUGCUGAAAGCUGAAAAAGCAAUGCUAAACUGCUAAUAAAACAUGGAGAAAGGUAUAAAUGUUAAAGCUGUUGAAGGGGUGUGAAAGAAAUGUAAGUUGGAUAAUUGAUUAAUUGGUUGAAGGACAAAUAGUAUGAAUAUGCUCUAUAAAAAGAAAUUUUAUUCAUGCUAAAAGAGGCUAGAAAAAUGUCUAAAAUUGCACAAAGUUUGAAUGAAGAAGGAAAUUGCCUUAAAAGGCAGGAAGGUGGGAAGUGGCAUAAGUUUAAUUUUUUAAGUAUUAGAAAGGUUUGAAUCAGUUUGAAUGAGUUUAAAUUAGUUUGAAAAAUUAAAUGAUAAGUCAUCACUGAGUGACUUAAAAAUGUGAAAAAUUUAAAUGAAUAUAAAUUCUGAAUACACCCUAUAAUGUCCUCAAUGAGCUUAAGUUUUAAAGCCCUGAAUGGUUUCUGUAGGUCAAAGGUCAUGUGAGGAGAUAGGGGCUGAAGUUUUUUCAAGCGCUCUAGUAAAGGGUUUUAAGUGUCAUCCCCAGUGCUAUGGGUGCUGAGCCUGGCUUCAUGUGUCUCAUAUGGCCAUUAGAAGCAGCUUUCCAGUCAGCUGUGUGUCUCCAGGUGCACUAAUUGGUUGCCAUGCGGACCUUGGAUGCAUAACUAUAGCAGGAGAAAGAAGGCUUGAAGCUAAGGAAACAGGACUCCAAGUAGGCCCUGACGCUCAUCCUCUGUAUCUAUUCCUGAUAAGGAGCUUGUGAGAACACAAGACUCUGCUAAACACAUUAAUACAAUUUAUUAUCACAAUCCUCAAAACACCCCAUAAUAUUUUCAAUGAGCUGAAUUUUAGAAGCCCAGAAUGGUUUCUGUAGCUCAAAGUUUGUGGGUGGAGAUAGGUGGCGAAGCAGACACAUAUUAACUGUGUGUACAAGCAGCUGAACUGCAAGGUAGACCUCAUAAAGCAACAAGUACAAGAAUGUGUGUGUGUGUGUGUGUGUGUGUGUCUCGUUAAUGACUGCAUCCUAAACAGCUGUGAGAUCAAAGGCAAAUCACUGACCUACUGUUUGAAUGAGAAGCAGCUGAACUGCAGAGGAUUUAGAGGCUCUAAACUUCUUCACAUAGCGUGAUUUCCUUAAGUCCCAGAAUGAAAAUAAGAACAUCGUACGAAUCCUCCGUCCUUCAUGAACACAAUGAUGUCUUUUUCAUGUCUGUACUGCGAAAAAUGUGGCCACAACAGCGAGUUAAAAAAGUCUGAGCCUGAGUGGGGAUAAGGAUUUUCUUGGAGAAGAAAUACAUUAGGUCUAAUGGGGAGAGAUUUCCGCCUAUUUGGACAGUUGGUCACCUGCUGGCCAAGAGGCAAGAUUUAAUGAUUUGAAACCUCUUUUGUGAGAAGCAGGACACAUAUACCUCCAUUUUGAUGUAUUUUUUAUGGGUGUGGAUUGAGAUUUGUGAGCGUGGGAGCGAUAUAUUCGAGCGAGGUUCUGUCGAUCAGAGACGAGGUCUGCACUCUAGCUUUUCAAAUCAUCACUCUAGCCUCUCCAAUACACCCCUAUUAUAAAGCCUGAAAUUUGCUGAAAACCACAAGUUGCUUGAAGCUAAAUUGUGGAAAAACUGUAAAAGAUAGCACAAAAAGGUUAAUACAAUAUCAAUAGUCGACAAGACAAUGAACAUUUUAAAGCAAAAAUGAGGUCUCUAGGUGAAAGUAUGCUGAAGUUAUAAGGCUUAGAAGGUGGACGAAUAACAGGAAGAAUUGAAAGAUUUCCCCAUUCAUUUCUAUGGGAAAAAAAGUUUGGCACAAAAAGUGAAAAAUAAUAAAAAGUAUAAAGGGUAGAAAAAAGAAAAGUAAUAGCCAUCAUGUCCUGAAGAAGUGGAAUCGUUUAAAGUUUGAACGGUUGAAAUCGGACAAAGUUUGAAGGAGGAGAAGCGGUCCAAAGAAACGUAUGGGGAGAGUGUUAAGUAUAAUACUAGAAAAAUUGCAUUUCCUUGCAGAAAAUGCGUGGAAAUGCUGAGUGCUGAAAGCUGAAAAAGCAAUGCUGAACUGCUAAUAAAACAUGGAGAAAGGUAUAAAUGUUAAAGCUGUUGAAGGGGUGAAAAUGAAAUAUAAGUUGGAUAACUGUUUAAUUGGUUGAAGUACAAAUAUUAUGAAUAUGCUCUAUAAAAGGAAAUUUGACAUUAACAGUAGUUGUCGUACUUGAGGUAGGAUUUUGUUUGAAGGACGGAAUAAUGCAUAAAUAUUAAAACUAAUAUAAACAGGGAAAAUUUUAUUAAUUUAAAAUCCUCAAGUAUCAGAAAGUUUUUAAGUAUUAGAAAGGUUUGAAUCAUUUUGAAUGAGUUUAAAUUAGUUUGAAAAAUGAAAUGAUAAAUCAUCACUGAGUGACUUUAAAAUGUGAAAAAUUUAAAUGAAUUUAAAUCCUAAAUACACCCCAUAUUGUCCUCAAUGAGCUUAAAUUUUAAAGCCCUGAAUGGUUUCUGUAGGUCAAAGGUCAUGUGAGGAGAUAGGGGCUGAAGUUUUUUCCAACGCUCUAGGAAAGGGUUUUAAGUGUCAUCCCAAGUGCUAUGUGUACUGAGCCUGGCUUCAUGUGUCUCAUAUGGCCAUUAGAAGCAGCUUUCCAGUCAGCUGUGUGUCUCCAGGUGCAAAAAUUGGUUGCCAUGGGGACCUUGGAUGCAUAACUAUAGCACGAGAAAGAAGGCUUGAAUGCUAAGGAAACAGGACUCCAAGUAGGCCCUGACGCUCAUCCUCUAUAUAUAUUUAUGAUAAGGAGCUUGUGAGAACCACAAAAACUGCUUAACACAUUAAUACAAUUUAUAAUCACAAUCCUCAAAACACCCCAUAAUAUCUUCAAUGAGCUGAAUUUUUGAAGCCCAGAAUGGUUUCUGUGGCUCAAAGUUUGUGGGUGGAGAUAGGUGGCGAAGCAGACACAUAUUAACUGUGUGUACAAUCAGCUGAACUGCAAGGUAGACCUGACAAAGCAACAAGUACAAGAAUGUGUGUGUGUGUGUGUGUGUGUGUGUGUGUGUCUCGUUAAUGACUGCAUCCUGAACAGCUGUGAGAUCAAAGGCAAAUCACUGACCUACUGUUUGAAUGAGAAGCAGCUGAACUGCAGAGGAUUAAGAGGCUCUGAACUUCUUCACAUAGCGUGAUUUCCUUAAAUCCCAGAAUGAAAAUAAGAACAUCGUACGAAUCCUCCGCCCUUCAUGAACACAAUGAUGUGUUUUUCAUGUCUGUACUCCGAAAAAUGUGGCCACAACAGCGAGUUAAAAAAGUCUGAGCCUGAGUGGCGAUAAGGAUUUUCUUGGAGAAAAAAUACAUUAGGGCCAAUGGGGAGAGAUUUGCGCCUAUUUGGACAGUUGGUCACCUGCUGGCCAAGGGGUACGAUUUAAUGAUUUGAAACCUCUUUUGUGAGAAGCAGGACACAUAUACCUCCAUUUUGAUGUAUUUUUUAUGGCUGAGGAGUGAAAUUUGUGGGCGUUGGAGCGAUAUAUUCGAGCGAGGUUCUGUCGAUCAGAGACGAGGUCUGCACUCUAGCUUUUCAAAUCAUCACUCUAGCCUCUCCAAUACACCCCAUUAUAAAGCCUGAAAUUUGCUGAAAACCACGAGGUGCUUAAAGCUAAAUUGUGGAAAAACUGUAAAAGUUAGAACAAAGAGGUUAAUACAACAUCAAUAGUCGACAAGACAAUGAACAUUUUAAAGCAAAAAUGAGGUCUCUAGGUGAAAGUAUGCUUAAGUUAUAAGGCUUAGAAGGUGGACGAAUAACAGGAGGAAUUGGAAGAUUUCCCCAUUCAUUUCUAUGGGAAAAAAAGUUUGGCACAAAAAGUUAAAAAUAAUAAAAAGUACAAAGGAUAGAAAGGAAAAAAAUACAAGCACACAUGUCCUGAUGGAGUGGAAUAGUUUAAAGUUUGAACGGUUGAAAUCGGACAAAGUUUGAAGGAGGAGAAGCGGUCCAAAGAAACGUAUGGGGAGAGUGUUAAGUAUAAUACUAGAAAAAUUGCAUUUCCUUUCAGAAAAUGCGUGGAAAUGCUGAGUGCUGAAAGCUGAAAAAGCAAUGCUAAACUGCUAAUAAAACAUGGAGAAAGGUAUAAAUGUUAAAGGUGUUGAAGGGGUGAAAAAGAAAUAUAAGUUGGAUAAUGGUCUAAUUGGUUGAAGGACAAAUAGUAUGAAUAUGCUCUAUAAAUGGAAGUUUUAUUCAUGCUGAAAGAGGCUAGAAAAAUGUCUACAAUUGCACAAAGUUUGAAUGAAGAAGGAAACUGCCUUAAAAGGCAGGAAGGUGAGAAGUGGCAUAAGUUUAAGUUGUAGUACUAGAAGUAGUAUAAUAGGUCAAGUCGUGAUACUAGUAGUCAUGUCAGCAGUAGAAGUAGUUUGAGAAUAAAAGAAGUAUAAGUCACAAUAGUAGAGAAAGUAGAAAUAGGAGCAAUAGUAGUUGAAGUAGAGGGGAUAGUACUAGUUUAAUUGACAUUAGCGGUAGUUGUCGUACUUGAGGUAGGAUUUUGUUUGAAGGAUGGAGUAAUGCAUAAAUAUUAAAACUUAUUUCAAACAGGGAAAAUUGAAAUAAUUAAAAAUCCUCAAGAAUCAGAAAGUUUUUAAGUAUUAGAAAGGUUUGAAUCAGUUUGAAUGAGUUUCAACUAGUUUGAAAAAUAAAUGAUAAAUCAUCACUGAGUGACUUUAAAAUGUGAAAAAUUUAAAUGAAUAUAAAUCCUAAAUACACCCCAUAAUGUCCUCAAUGAGCUUAAAUUUUAAAGCCCUGAAUGGUUUCUGUAGGUCAAAGGUCAUGUGAGGAGAUAGGGGCUGAAGUUUUUUCAAGCACUCUAGGAAAGGGUUUUAAGUGUCAUCCCCAGUGCUAUGCGUACUAAGCCUGGCUUCAUGUGUCUCAUAUGGCCAUUAGAAGCAGCUUUCCAGUCAGCUGUGUGUCUCCAGGUGCACUAAUUGGUUGCCAUGGGGACCUUGGAUGCAUAACUAUAGCCGGAGAAAGAAGGCUUGAAGCUAAAGAAACAGGACUCCAAGUAGGCCCUGACGCUCACCCUCUGUAUAUAUUCAUAAGGAGCUUGUGAGAACACAAGACUCUGCUGAACACAUUAAUACAAUUUAUUAUCACAAUCCUCAAAACACCCCAUAAUGUCUUCAAUGAGCUGAAUUUUUGAAGCCCAGAAUGGUUUCUGUAGCUCAAAGUUUGUGGGUGGAGAUAGGUGGUGAAGCAGACACAUAUUAACUGUGUGUACAAGCAGCUGAACUGCAAGGUGGACCUCAAAAAGCAACAAGUACAAGAAUGUGUGUGCGUGUGUGUGUGUGUGUCUCGUUAAUGACUGCAUCCUAAACAGCUGUGAGAUCAAAGGCAAAUCACUAACCUACUGUUUGACUGAGAGGUGCUGAACUGCAGUGAAUUUCAGCCUCUGAACUUCUUCACAUAGCGUGAUUUCCUUAAGUCCCAGAAUGAAAAUAAGAACAUCGUACGAAUCCUCCGUCCUUCAUGAACACAAUGAUGUGUUUUUCAUGUCUGUACUCCGAAAAAUGUGGCCACAACAGCGAGUUAAAAAAGUCUGAGCCUGAGUGACGAUAAGGAUUUUCUUGGAGAAGAAAUACAUUAGGGCCAAUGGGGAGAUAUUUGCGCCUAUCUGGACAGUUGGUCACCUGCUGGCCAAGGGGUACGAUUUAAUGAUUUGAAACCUCUUUUGUGAGAAGCAGGACACAUAUACCUCCAUUUUGAUGUAUUAUUUGUGUCAGUGGAGUGAGAUUUGUGGGCGUGGGAGCGAUAUAUUCGAGCGAGGUUCUGUCGAUCAGAGACGAGGUCUGCACUCUAGCUGAUGACAUCAUCACUCUAAACUCUCCAAUACACACCCAUUAUAAAGCUUGAAAUUUGCUGAAAACCACAAGUUGCUUAAAGCUAAAUUGUGGAAGAACUGUAGAAGAUAUCAAAAAACCGAGUACAACUUUGAUAGUCAACAAGUGAGUGAACAUUUUAAAGCAAAAAUGAGGUCUCUAGGUGAAAGUAUGCUGAAGUUAUAAGGUCUAGAAGGUGGAAGAAUGAAAGGAAGAAGUUGAAGAUUUCCCCAUUGACUUCAAUGUUAAAAUUUUUGCACAAAAAGUUAAAAAAAUCAAAAAGUAUAAAAGGUAGAAGAGUGAAAAGUAAUAGCCAUCAUGUCCUGAAGGAGUGGAAUAGUUUAAAGUUUGAACGGUUGAAAUCGGACAAAGUUUGAAGGAGGAGAAGCGUUGCAAAAAAGGGACGGAAGAAUAAUAAUAAUAAUAAUAAGUUUAAUAAAGAAACGGGAGAAUAACAAUAAGUGGAAAUGCCUAUCAGCAUUUCCACUUAACUAGAAAAAUUGCAUUUCCUUGCAGAAAAUGCGUGGAAAUGCUGAGUGCUGAAAGCUGAAAAAGCAAUGCAAAACUGCCAAUAAAAAAUGGAGGAAGGUAUAAACGGAAAAACUGUAGAAAAGGUGGAGUAGAAGAAGAAGAAAUUGUAUCAAUGGAAGAAUUGUAGUAUAGCUGGAGGUAAAUUAGUUGGAUUAAUGUACAAAUUGUCUGAUAGCCUAAGUGAAAAAUGUAUAUGAUUGAUGUGAAUAAACAGAACUGAUAUGGAUAAUUGAAUUUGAAAAACAAAUGCCUUUAAACAAUGUGUAACAAUGUUCCUAUUAAAUGUACAAAUAGUAAAACAGAUUUUUGCAGUCUGCAGCAUCCAACCAUAGUAACUUGAGAAUGCAGAACAGCACCAUUUAUUGCCCUGCUUCAGUUACUGCCCUACAUCUGAAUGCAGAAAGUAUGAAACAGCUGAAGUUAAAUUAAUUGUAUAAAUGUAGAAAGUAUAGAAAAGAAAAGCAGAAGUAGAAGAAAAAGAAGAAGUUAGUAUGUUAAAAGAGUUAAAGACAAGAACUGUAACAACAAAGUUCAUAUUGGGGCUGUAUUUUCUACUGACAGAGUGACAGUAAUGCACACAUGGAAACAGUGUGUGUGUGUGUGUGUGUGUGUGUGUGUGUGUGUGUGUGUGUGUGUGGCCGCGCGCGCGCGCGGCCGAGCCCGUGCGUGUGCAUAUGCGUGUGUGAUCGAAGCACACAGCCCAUGACAAGUGCAGAAUCUGACAGAGAGACAGUAAGAGAGAAAGAGAGACAUUAAUGCACUCAUGGAAACAGUGUGUGUGUAUGUGUGUGUGCCCGCGCGCGCACGAGCGGCCAAGUCCGUGCGUGUGCGAUCGAAGCACACAGCCCAUGACAAGUGCAGAAUCUGACAGAGAGAUAGUAAGAGAGACAGUAAUACACUCAUGGAAACAGUGUGUGUGUGUGUGUGUGUGUGCGUGUGUGUGUGCCCGCGCGCGCACGAGCGGCCGAGUCCGUGCGUGUGCAUGUGCGUGUGCGAUCGAAGCACACAGCCCAUGACAAGUGCAGAAUCUCUGGCUCUGAAGGAAUGUACUCACCUCCUGGGCAAGCUGUACAAUUUCAUGACUUCAGACCGAUUUUGUGAGAAGCAGGACGAGUGUACCUCCAUUUUGAUGUGUUUUUUAUGGCUGUGGAGUGAAAAUUGCGGCCGCAGCAGCAAAAUAAUCAUGCUUGGUCUAGUGAAUCCAAAAGGCCCCGCCCGCAUCUAGUGAUGACGUAACAUCUGACGUCACACGCUGUAGCGUGAGUCAGGCUGAAAAAGGCAGAGAACUUCAUGUUGCUCCAAGCGAAAUUGUGCAAAAACGGUAGGAAAUAGCAAAAAGGAGUGAAUACAACAUUUGUAGCAGACACGUUGCUGAACAUUUUAAAGCAAAAAUGAGGUCUGUAGGUGAAAGUAUGCAGAAGUUAUAAGGGUGAGAAGGUGUUAUAGCUGUAUCUCCAUUCAUUUGUAAUGGAACAAAUUUUGCAGAAAAAGUGAAAUAUUGCAAAAAGUAUAAAUGGUAGAAAGGUGAAAAGUAAUAGCCGUAAUGUCCUGAAGGAGUGCAUUAGUAUAAAGUUUGAAUGGUGAAAAUAGCACAAAGUGGUGAGGAGUUGAAAAGGGCCAAAAAAGGUACGGAAGAAUAAUAAUAAUAAUAAUAAUAAAGAAAUAGUAGAAUAACAAUAAGUGGAAAUGCUGUGUCAGCAUUUCCACUUAACUAGAAAAAUUGCAUUUCCUUGCAGAAAAUGCGUGGAAAUGCUGAGUGCUGAAAGCUGAAAAAGCAAUGCUAAACUGCUAAUAAAACAUGGAGAAAGGUAUAAAUGUUAAAGCUGUUGAAGGGGUGAAAAAGAAAUAUAAGUUGGAUAAUAGUUUAAUUGGUUGAAGGACAAAUAGCAUGAAUAUGCUCUAUAAAAGGAAAUUUUAUUCAUGCUGAAAGAGGCUAGAAAAAUGUCUAAAAUUGCACAAAGUUUGAAUGAAGAAGGAAAUUGCCUUUAAAGGCAGGAAGGUGAGAAGUGGCAUAAGUUUAAGUUGUAGUACUAGAAGAAGUAUGAUAAGAAGUCAAGUCGUGAUACUAGUAGUCAUGUCAGCAGUAGAAGUAGAUUGAGAAUAAAAGAAGUAUAAGUCAAAGUAGUAAAGAAAGUAGAAAUAGUAGCAAUAGCAGCAGUAGAGAAAGUAGAAAUAGGAGCAAUAGCAGUUGAAGUAGAGGGGAAAGUUCUAGUUUAAUUGACAUAAGUAGUUGUAGUACUAGAGGUAGGAUUUUGUUUGAAGGACGGAUUAAUGCAUAAAUAUUAAAACUAAUAUAAAACAGGGAAAAUUUUAUUAAUUAAAAAUCCUCAAGUAUCAGACAGUUUUUAAGUAUUAGAAAGGCUUGAAUCAUUUUGAAUGAGUUUAAAUUAGUUUGAAAAAUUAAAUGAUAAAUCAUCACUGAGUGACUUUAAAAUGUGAAACAUUUAAAUGAAUAUAAAUCCUAAAUACACCCCAUAAUGUCCUCAAUGAGCUUAAAUUUGAAAGCCCUGAAUGGUUUCUGUAGGUCAAAGGUCAUGUGAGGAGAUAGGGGCUGAAGUUUUUUCAAGCGCUCUAGUAAAAGGUUUUAAGUGUCAUCCCCAGUGCUAUGUGUGCUGAGCCUGGCUUCAUGUGUCUCAUAUGGCCAUUAGAAGCAGCUUUCCAGUCAGCUGUGUGUCUCCAGGUGCACUAAUUGGUUGCCAUGGGGACCUUGGAUGCAUAACUAUAGCAGGAGAAAGAAGGCUUGAAGCUAAGGAAACAGGACUCCAAGUAGGCCCUGACGCUCACCCUCUGUAUAUAUUCAUAAGGAGCUUGUGAGAACACAAGACUCUGCUGAACACAUUAAUACAAUUUAUUAUCACAAUCCUCAAAACACCCCAUAAUAUCUUCAAUGAGCUGAAUUUUUCAAGCCCAGAAUGGUUUCUGUAGCUCAAAGUUUGUGGGUGGAGAUAGGUGGUGAAGCAGACACAUAUUAUCUGUGUGUACAAGCAGGUGAACUGCAAGGUGGACCUCAAAAAGCAACAAGUACAAGAAUGUGUGUGUGUGUGUGUGUCUCAUUAAUGACUGCAUCCCUAACAGCUGUGAGAUCAAAGGCAAAUCACUGACCUACUGUUUGAAUGACAAGCAGCUGAACAGCAGAGGAUUUGAAGCCUGUGAACUUCUUCACAUAGCGUGAUUUCCUUAAGUCCCAGAAUGAAAAUAAGAACAUCGUACGAAUCCUCCGUCCUUCAUGAACACAAUGAUGUGUUUUUCAUGUCUGUACUCCGAAAAAUGUGGCCACAACAGCGAGUUAAAAAAGUCUGAGCCUGAGUGACGAUAAGGAUUUUCUUGGAGAAGAAAUACAUUAGGGCCAAUGGGGAGAUAUUUGCGCCUAUCUGGACAUUUGGUCACCUGCUGGCCAAGGGGUACGAUUUAAUGAUUUGAAACCUCUUUUGUGAGAAGCAGGACACAUAUACCUCCAUUUUGAUGUAUUAUUUGUGUCAGUGGAGUGAGAUUUGUGGGCGUGGGAGCGAUAUAUUCGAGCGAGGUUCUGUCGAUCAGAGACGAGGUCUGCACUCUAGCUGAUGACAUCAUCACUCUAAACUCUCCAAUACACACCCAUUAUAAAGCUUGAAAUUUGCUGAAAACCACAAGUUGCUUAAAGCUAAAUUGUGGAAAAACUGUAAAAGAUAGCACAAAAAGGUUAAUACAACAUCUAUAGUCGACAAGACAAUGAACAUUUUAAAGCAAAAAUGAGGUCUCUAGGUGAAAGUAUGCUGAAGUUAUAAGGCUGAGAAGGUGGAGGAGUAAAAGGUAGAAUUUGAAGAUUUCCCCAUUCAUUUCAAUGGGAAAAUUUUUUGCACAAAAAGUCAAAAAUAUCAAAAAGUAUAAGGGGUAGAAAAGAGAAAAGUAAUAGCCAUCAUGUCCUGAAGGAGUGGAACAGUUUAAAGUUUGAACGGUUGAAAUCGGACAAAGUUUGAAGGAGGAGAAGCGGUCCAAAAAACGGCGGAAGAAAAAUAAUAAUAAAGAAACGGGAGAAUAACAAUAAGUGGAAAUGCUUAAUCAGCAUUUCCACUUAACUAGAAAAAUUGCAUUUCCUUGCAGAAAAUGCGUGGAAAUGCUGAGUGCUGAAAGCUGAAAAAGCAAUGCAAAACUGCCAAUAAAAAAUGGAGGAAGGUAUAAACGGAAAAACUG
RNAcentral lists this long non-coding RNA (15134 nucleotides) under Xyrichtys novacula (pearly razorfish). Lineage: Eukaryota; Metazoa; Chordata; Actinopteri; Labriformes; Labridae. The record is from RNAcentral.